AUUCAUCAUGUUACACAUACCCUAAAGUGAUAUAUUUACCCUAUUUGAUAACAUGAUAAGUAUAUUUGAAGCGCUCACUAUUUUAUUUGAACUUUAUUAUCGAGUUUAAACGAGUUUUGAAAUAUUGAAUUAAAUUGAAAUAUCCAUGUUGAUCGUUUAAGAAGCAAAUUUUUGGCAUGGGUUUAUAAAAAAUACAUCCUAGCCUCCAUCCCUAAUAAGUGCGGUGUGAAGGAGUGGGCAAUAGUUCUUUAAAAAUAAUUGAGAGAUGUGUAUAAAGUGGAUAAAAUGGCUUACUAGAGCUGAUUUGUUAGGCCUUACUUUCUCUCUGCCCCACUAAAAUAAGCUCAAUUCUUUUGAGAACAUAGAUUAAUAAACUUUCUUUUGAGAAGAAAAUUAAAGUGGUGGCAAAAGUAAUGUGGUCCAUACCAAUUAAGCAAUUUGAGUACAUUUUUUUUUUCACUCAAAAGGAAAACGAGCCUAUUCUAGCGGGACAUUCCAAAAUAGAAAACGAGCAUAUUCUGCUGGGACGAGGGAAUAAUAAAUUGUUUGUGAGAUGAGUAGUUUGUAAAUAUUGUGUGUGAAAGGUGUAUGUCUUAAAUUGAAAAGACCAUACCUGUAUUGUGAUUGUACGGAAAGGUGGAACUGAGCAUCGCGGCGGCGGCGAGGCAGGAGGCGGCGGUGGUGAGGAGAAUCGAGAGAGAGAGAGAAAGAUGCCAGCAGACAGUGACGGAGGGCAGUGGGCGGCCCUUGGCGGCAGCGGAGACGACAAGGUACUGGCUGUGCCAGAAUUAUUUAGUUGCAUAGGAUCCUUCCAAAUGUAAUUACUGAUUCACUGUUGGAUUAACAAGAAUUAAAUUACUUCAUAAUACAGUAUUCCAACUGUUCGAUAAAAGCCCUUAAUGAAAUCUUCCAUAGAUUACUUUGCAAAGUUCAUAAAAUUACUCAAAAGCAUUGUUGCAUAGUCCGUACAUAGAGAUGGUCGAUUAUCUUAAUUAUGUCUAGAUUUAUUUACGACACACACACACACACAUCACAAAAUCACACAUACUGACUAAUAAGGUUCCCGAAAGCCGGCAUUAUUAGGCGCCAUGGUGGCCGUGAAAUACCAUGAGACGAUAUCAUGGGUGGUGGGUCCGUCUAGUCUGGUGGCGGCGGAGAGCCCUACCUGAACCUGCUAAGGAAGAAAGCCGCUCAAAUCAUACUCAUAGCUGACUUCAAACGUCUUCGAGCCGGCGGUGGCACGGACGGCGAUCUACUUUGUGGAGGCGGCGUAGUUGAUCCUCGCCGUCACCUGCUGCUCGAGUAUGGAGCCGUCGACCUCCGUCGUGUUUCGGGAUGACCUAGACCCGAUGUCGAUGCCGAUGUGGGGAUAGUUCGGAUCCCACGCGCUGUUGACGUAGGUGUCGAACUCGACGGCAAAUACCGAGGGGUUGCUGCCGGAGGAGCCGAAGAUUCCGAGGUUGGCCCCGCUGGAGCCGGUGGGGAUGGUGGAGCGGCGAGAUUGGUGAUGCUGGGUGUGGUGAUGAAGUUUACGGUGGUUUCAAAGUCGACUUGGCCACCGGCUUGGGAGAAUUGGACCGGGUUCGUGUACAAGACCCGGCCGACACUACCGAUCUGCGGUCGCCUUGGUAGGUGAGGUCGGUCGGCUGGUUGUCCCAGAAGUUAUAGGCGAAGGCCGUUGAUCGGGACUUCGCCCUGUUGGUGGCGACGGCGAGAAGAAGGGCGAUGGAGAUUAGGGUUUGGAGAAGGUUGGCCAUGGCUUAGUUGUGCAGUGAAUGAUGUCUACUACUUGCUCCUAUUUAUAAUGAUCGAAAAUAUCUACUACUUACCUACCACAGAUCCACAUCAGGGGCCCUGGAUGGGGUGGUCGACUACAUAAGCCCAAAAAAAUAAGGGCUCGGAAAAUAUAUAGAUCCAUGUAAGUAUUAUAUAUAUGUAUAAAAUAAUUAAAAGCCAACUAAUGAUUGAAUUGAUUAACUUGGCGCAGUGGAAAAAGGACAUUUUUAAUUCCUCUUAAUUACCAAUAUUUUAUUUAGUGACCAAUUUUUUUGUUUAGAUAUAGGGCCCAGCCCCUAUUUUGAUAAAUUAAGUGUAUGUAUUUCAAAUUAACAUUAUUUUAAGUUGUCGAAUUUUUUUGUUAAGAUUUAGGGUCCAGCCCCUAUUUUGUUAAAUUAACUUUAUUUUAAGUGAAUGACAUAAUUAUUAAUAUAUUUAUUAAUUAUUAUGUAAUUUGAUAAAAAAAUGUUUUAAAUAAUUUUAGUUUAUAAUUAAUUUAUUUCUCAAUUAUAAAUAAAUGGCCUAAAUUAAAAAAUUCGCAAAGGGCCUAUGUUCUCUUAGCCCUACCCUUGCACUGUUGCACAUGGUAUAUAUAUCUAUUCUAUGAAUAUAAGUGAUUAUUUUAUAAACCACGUGAAAGCACUUGUUCCCACUAGCACUAUAAAAGCAAUAAAUACAACGGAAAGAAAAUAAAUUACAAUUGAAUACAUUAGGAGAAAAAUUACUUCUAACCUAUGGAAUUACUAACAACGAUACUUAUACCAAAGCUAAAUUGGACCAACUAACUGUACACUCUUGUAUUAUAUCAACCUACCAGACCUUAGUAUUCACGAGUCUCCCACAGUCUAGACUGAUUCACAAUAUAUACCAACAUUGGAACAAGUUCAGUAAUACACUCUAUUUAUAUAUAUUAUUAUAUACACAAAAAUGCAUGGCUGCUGUGGUAUUACGGAAGGAUCGAGAAUUACUCGAUCCUUGGGAAAAGGUUCAAAUGAAACCUUUAUUAUUACUCUCCGUCCCCCAAAUAAUAUCAUAUCCGAUUUGGGAUAUUACCCCACCACUAAUAAUACUUUAUUUAUUCUAACUUCUCAAUCUUUCACCAUUCUCAAUACUAAUUAUAACACAUUUUCAUCACUUUCAAUACUAAUUAUAAUUUCUUUUCUCCACUGCUAAUACGUACACUUAACAAUUUUUCCUUAAAACCAGUGUCGUCCCCUACUAAGAAGUUAUUUGGGGGACGUAGGGAGUAUUUUUUAAUGAUAUGGCAUCCAAAUAUGUUGUGACAAUCCAGUGAGCAAUAUCAACUUUUUGGAGCUGAAAACCGAUGUGAGGUACAACUAAUACACAAUAUGUUGUGGCAAUCCAGUAAUAUACCCUAAGGAUGCGUCAUCUUUUGUUGUAAAUUUAUCAUGGAAAAAUGAGGGAUAAACAAAAUUUCACCCAUUAAAUCCUUCAUUUUUUCCCUCAUUUCUUACAAAAUAGAAUUUGACCCUUACUCAUUUCUCAUUUUCACUGCAAAGGGGGGCUAAUAUUAUCUCUCUAUUUUUGGUAUAAUGAAGAAUUUGAUACGUAAUUACAAUUAAUUAUAAUGAAGUGUGUAUUUUAGUUGCUCAUAUUCUUGGAUUAUUUAUGCUUUAAUGAAACGAUCCACUGCCUUUAACAUUUUGGCAUUUUAAAGUAAACGCCGAAAUGCAACGAUCCACUGCCUUUUAAGUAAACACCCUUGCUAACCCCUGCAUGCGUUUUUUCAUCAAACACUUGGGUUCAUUCUUUUAGGCAUUUUAUCAAACAGUUGUGCUCAGCCUCAUCCUUUUGAUCACAUUCCCAUAUCUCUCCUUAUAUGAAACCGCAUUUUCUAUUUCUCAUAUAUUUCCUAUAUAAUAUUUCCAUCAUUUCUAGCUCAACAAUAAUUCUUCUAGCAAAAUUAUCAUUUCAAAUGCACUCUUUUCCUUUUCUACUUUCUCUUCUGCAUAACAGAAAUACUAAUCCACCAUAAAAUAAUCAUAACUUUUUCUUAAUGAUACGAUGAGGGCACAAAGUUGAGAUGAUAAAAUCAUACAUAUUGGCGAAUGUUGCCGCCGGCUUCCUCUGACUUUUGGAUGCUGAGGGGAGGGGUGGCGGUGAAAUACCAGGAGUUGAUGAUGAAUUUGAUGGUUGUUUCCAUGUCCACCUGCCGCAGAGACCGAGAUACGAUUUUAGAAACAAACGGCAAAAUUACAAUUUCACAUAUAAAAAAUAAAAGACAAUUAAUAAAGCGCAUAAUAUUGGUAAGAUGCUUCCAACCAAUAGGUCGGGAUUGUAUAUCGUGUGAGUGUGUUUUUCAUUUUUUAGUAAUAACAUGUCGUGCUCGGGGCUUUUUUCCGUAUCUGCCCCUGCUUCCCGUCGUCGUGCCCGACUCGUCGGUUUUUGUCAUGCGGAGGUAGGUGGUGGCGUCGGUGAAGUUGGCGUCGCCUUCCAAGCGUAGGCCUUCCGAAUGUGGCGGCUUUUGGUAGAAGUCGUAGGUGAAGGAGACUGCAUCGCCGACCGACACGGUGGCGAGGAGGAGGGCGAUGGAGGAGAGGAGAGGAAUUAAGGUUUGGAGAAGGUUGGCCAAUUUGAUUAAAUGUAUUUGGAUGUAGUGGAUGAUGGUGUAUCGAUCUCUUGCUCCUAUUUAUAGUUGUAAAUAUAUAUUAAUAAUGGUAUCAUUCAAUCAUUAUACUUUAGGCCGGCCGGGCCGGAUCCUCUAUUCCAAAUUCUAUGUCUCAUUGUUCAUAUUCACUAUUAAUUUCACUAUUUCAAUAAUUAAAAAAAUUCAUAGAGUUUGGGGCAGAGGAUCCCGUUUGAAUCCCACAUGGAUCCUCUGUCCCAUAACUUAUUGUGUUCCUUCCCAUUAUUAAUCUCGAUAUUAUAUUUCUACUUUGGAGUUAAUUCAUUAUAAACCCAUGAAAGAUCAGACGAAAUUCAUCCAAUAAACAUUUAUAAAUUUAUAUUUAAAUUUUGUUUCGCGGGUAUCUGAUAGAUAAUAGGUAUUCGUGGGUGGCGAAUUUGGGUAGCAUUUGAUAUUCAUAGAUAGUUUCAUGAUUAAAAUCCAAUAUUCAUUUAGUUCACGGGUAUGGUAUGACAGCCACUAUCUGUGUACGUCAUACCUGAUUGCCAGUAUGACAAAUAUAAAAGUUGUGAGAUGCACAGCAGCUUAAUUAUUCAAAUAGAAAUAUCAUCACAUGUGCAUUGAUAUUUCACAAAAUAAAUACUACUACUAAUAAAUACUCCCUCCGUCCACCAAAGAUAUGCCACUUUACUUUCGGUACGAGUUUUAAUAAAAUGUGAGUGAAGUUGGUAGUGGAGUAAGGGUCCCACUUUAAAUGUGAGUGGAAUGGUAUGGACCUUACUACUAAAAAUGGAUGUGGCAUAUUUUUCGUGGACGAACGAGAAAGAAAAUUGUGGCAUAUCUUUGGUGGACGGAGGGAGUAGUACUCAUUGAUAAUGCAUGCCAACACAUGGUUCUUGCAAGUCAUAUAUAUACCUCAUCAGCAAUAUAGUAAAAUGAUGAUUUGACAACCAGAUUAAGACACCAAUUAUUCUUGUCGGGACACAGACAUAUAUGCAUAUAGAAUUAAUAUUAUUUACUAUUUCGUUUAUACACGUGAAUUAUGCUUUGGAUGCAACAUCGCCACGUCUCUUUCAUUUAUACUUCUCUAGUGUAUUGCGGACAAAAUAGUUAGUGUCUUUAAGAAAUUAAAAAUUUUCAAAUACAUAAGAAAGAAUAAUUAAUCUAAUUGGUGCGCCGGCAACUAAAACUUUUUUCAAUUCACUUUAUAUUUUAUAUACUCCCUCCGUCCACGAUUUAAUGCCCCAUUUUAGUGUGGGCACGGAGACUAAGAAAACUGAAAAAGGUGAUGUGAAUGAAAUAUAAGGGUAGUUGACUAAAGUGAUAAAGAUGCUGUGAGUGGGUUCACUAGUGAUAAAGUAUAGGAAAUAUAGAAUAUAAAAAUGAUAAAGGUGUUUUAAGUUGGGUCCAUUAGUGGCAAAGAGUAAUAAAUAUAGAAAAAGAAGAGUAAAAAAGUACAAAAAGCAUAAUAGGGCUUUAAUUUGUGGACAAAAAAUUAAGAGCAAGUAGGGCUUUAAAUUGUGGACGGAGGGAGUAUUUAACAUUACAAGUCAAUUGCUUGCAGAAUUUGAGCUUGUCUCCCGUGAUGGAGACCUCACCAUGCGGCAACCCGUGCCUGCGCCUGCCUUUUUUCUUCCCGUCUUGCUCUAUCCAGAUAUUAUACGUGAUCCAACUCUUUCCAGAUAUUAUACGUAAAUGAUAAUUUUACUAACAAAAAUUACACUUUUUAUCAAUAACAAAUGAAACUAUGCAUACAAAACAGGAGGUAAAUGAUAUUUUUCUUAAUAACAACUGAUACUUUUUCAAUGCAAAUAAUACUUCGCAAAUGAUAUUUUAAUAUAAAAGUAAAUGAUACUUUGUAUAAAAAUAAAUGUUAUAUUACAAAUGACACUUUUAAUGCAUACCAAUGACACUUUUAAUAACAAAAAUUGAGAAAAAAAAAUUAGAAUUCGGCCUUAAUUAAAAUUUGGACAACAUUUAUUUGGGCAAAGAAGAAAAACACCUGAAUUUUUUUUUUUCCUUUUUUGAGAGAGAAAAACUCAUGAAAUUUCAUGCAAAAGGUAAUGCAUAGCCAACCGGGCUCAAUCAUCUUUCGGCGGUUUUGGUUUGAUUCUUCCAACAUCUAGGGUAGCAUUCACACAAAAUCAACUCGUGUUCAAAAAUCUGAAAUUAAAAUUAACGAUGUGUCUCAGUAUAGAGAUAAGAACAUACCCCUCAAAUGGUUCGAGCCAAGGUCUAAUUCCUUCAGCAGUGUGAUAUUCCAAAUUUGAGUAGGCAUAUAUCCGCCAAAGUUGUUGUCUGACAAGCGAAUACUCUCAAGUUGUGGACAUUGGUACAAACUCGAUGGUAUAUCUCCUUCCAAAUUGUUAAAGGAUAGGUUCACUAGUUUAAGUCUUUGAAGGUUAUUGUACGUGCNUAGACAACAAGAAAUAUCUAUUGUCUAUUCUAUGACAAAAAAAUUAAAAAAUUCUAAUAUAUCUGCAUCCCUGUAUUACAAUACCAAUAUAUAUGAAAAAAUAAAAAUAAUUAAAAAUCAAAUAAUCAAACAAUACUUAUAAACCACUAAUACUCACAAUCAAAUAUUUACACAUCAGUGUAAAUAUUGGGUUCGAGUCCUCUGCGUGUGUUGAUCAAGCGGUAAGGGGUUAAUGCCUAAGGUCAAAGGUCUGGGAUUCGAGUCCCCUGUGGUGUAGCCUUUUAAUUUCGUUAUUUAAUAUUGUAAAUUUAUAAAAAAAAAAAAGUAUAUUUACACAUCAACAAUUGUAUUAUCUUUAAUACGCCUUCAUUCAUCUAAUAAAAAAAAUCUCUAAUAAAAUCUCCAACUAACUCCGGUCAUGAUCAUCUCUUGAAGGCGGAGGAAGGUGGAGUCCGUCGGGAAAUGGGUACUGCCUUGAUAGAUGAGAUCUUUCGGCUGGUCGCCCCAGAAGUCGUAGGUGAAGGACGUCGUUUGGGACAACGCCGUGUUGGAAACGGAGAGGAGGAGGACGAUGGAGGAGAGGAGAGGAGUUAAGGUUUGAAGAAGCUGGUUGGCCAUGGCUUAAUUGAUUUAGAUUUAGAGAUGUGGUGGAUGAUGGUGGUAUCGAUCUCUUGCACCUAUUUAUACUAGUAUGGUUCAUGCCUGUUAAUAAUUGUAUAUAUCAAUCAUCGUGCAUCUAUCCCAAAUUAUAUGUCUUAUUAUUCACUAAUUAGAUGGAUUAAAUCCUGAUUAGUAACCAUAAAAUUAAACUGUCAAUGAGGCCUUGCUCUAGUGGCAAAGCUGUGACACCGAAUAACUUUUCUUUGUGAAAUGUCUUGGGUUCAAUCUCGCCUGCAUGCGGUGAUGUGUGUCCAUUUUAGGUGGUGUGGUAUUCUUGUCUGCGUGCGGUGUUGUAUUGUUUAGUGUUGAGGUCCCACAUGCAGAGCGUUCUUGCCUGUGUACGUGUCACAGCCCAAAACCAUUUAUUUUCUUUACAAAUUUUAUAUAUGAAAAUUAUUUAAUUUUUAAGUUAUAGAGUUUUUGAAAUAUAUAUAGUAUCAAUUUUAUGUUAACUUAGUCGUGUCCCUAAUUAAAAGAAUGACUUUAAAAUAAAACUUAAGCCUUAAAAAUUUAAUCUACAUUCAUAUAUAACUGAAAUUACAUGCAUGUCUAAAUAUUAUUUAUAAUUAUCAAUAACAAGAUUAAUGAUUCUAUAUCUCUAUGUUUAUACAUGUAUUCACGUAUGACAUAGUAUAUAUUAGCUAUUAAGUUAAAAACUAAUAAAAUACUACACUUUUGCAUAGGAUAUAUAUUUAAUUAGUAGUAGGAUAGGACACGUGUAUUAAUUUUAAGGGCAAGUAAUCAAACUUUUGAAUGAUUCAUCAUGCUUAAAAAAAAAAGAGACCUAGAUAGAUGAUUCAUCAGAUUCAAAAACAAGUAUAAAUAGACUUCGGGUUUGAAAUUUUAAUUAAUUUGCAACAACAAUUCAAACUGACUGUAUUAAGGUAAGUAGUUACAGAUUUCAUACACAUAUUAUAUGAUUUCGCACACAUAUUAAGGUAAGUAUAUAUAAAUAUUUUUUAAAAUCAUAUAUUAUAUAAUAAUUAUAUUUAAGUUUUAUAUUAUUCUUUAUAAACUAUUGUUUCAUUCUAUAUAAUUAGGUGUGGCACGACUAGGACGUAACUUUCUAUUGAAUUUCUCAAGUUAAUCUUAGAGUUCAAGUUUCAGGUGUGAGAUUUAUUUAAAUACAUGUCGUACGUGGUUAUUUAUUGUCCAUUUUAAUAAGAUGUGUUUACCAUAUGUGUUAUGACGCAUAUUUUUAGGAUAUCACUAGGUGCCCAUAAAUAGGAUCCAGGACUUCACCGUCCUUGGAUUGCCACAAUGCGAUUUGAGGUUUAUUUUGAGGAUGUCGUUAGGGGCCCGUACAUAGGGUCCAGGACUUUAAUAGUCAUUGGGUUGCCAUAGUGCAAAUAUUGAGGAUAUAUAUGAAGUGACCGUAUGUGUUACCGUUUCAUUAACGUGGACAAUGAUUGCAUGUUUAAGAGACAAUAACCAAUUUUUCAGACAUUUGUGAACAAAAUGAAGCAUGUUUAGAGAUCCUUAAUACAGGUGUACGAAAUGAUGGAUAAAUAAGUUUGUGAAACAAAUUUCACCAUACCUAACCCCACAAUUAUUUGCGGUCGAAUUUCCUCGUCACAGGAAAAAGAGAUGAUGACAAAAGGGAAAAAAUUAAUUAACAAAGUAGAAGAUGCAUGACAACUGUAAAAGAAAAAUAAUGCUACUAAUUAAAUAGUCCAAACUUCAUACGUUUCAUAUCAUAAGUGGCAGUUCUAUUUUUUUUUUUGCGAAUGUGAACAAAAUAACGAAUAAUUUUUAAAGUAAUAGUAAUAAGGAGAUGUGUUUUGACAGAAAACGACAUGAGCGGCCUAAAAAUAAGAGGGAAAAAGAUAAUCAUAUAAAUAUUCAAAAUCAAACGGAUUGGCAUGUAUUCAUCAUUUUUUAUUUUUUAUUUUGAUAAUUUAACAGUACUCCCUCCGUCCGUCAAAAGUAGACCACUUUGGUUGGGCACGGGAUUUAAUAAAAUUAGUGAUGAUUUUGAUGUAGUAGAGAAAGAGUUCCACCACUUUAUGAGAUGUGUGGUUGAGAUUGAAUUUGUUGUGAUUUUUUUGUAAAUAAAGAGUGUUUGUAAGGAUAAAAGAUUAAAGUGGGUGGUGGGACCAUUUCCAUAAAAGGAAAGUGGUCUACUAUUUGCGGACGCCCAAUAUAGUAAAAGUAGUCUACUUUUGGCGGACGGGGAGAGUAUUAAAUAAAUAAAUUUAAAGGUUGCACCCCUUACUGCUUGGCUUUUAGAUUAUGUUAUAAUAAUAAAAUUAACAGCACGUUUACAAUAUAAAAUUAAUUAUGAUAAAUACAAUAUAUUAAUAAUAAAUACUCAAUUACCUCUUAACAUAAUUCGCGCAUCAUGGCUUUUAGCUUAUAUUAUAAAGAUAUAAUAUGUUGUCUAUAAUAAUCGACGGAAGGUAAUAGACAACAUGUUUUAUAUGUUGUCUAUAAUAAUAUAGACAGUAGAUCUAGUGUUAUAGAUAACAAUUAAUACUUGUUGUCUAUAUGAUGAUAGACACCAAAAAUCUCUGUUGUCUAUUCUAUGACAAAAAAAUUUAAAAAAAUUCUAAUAUAUUUACAUCCCUGUAUUACAAUACCAAUAUAUAUGAAAAAAUAAAAAUAAUUAAAAAUCAAAUAAUCAAACAAUACUUAUAAACCACUAAUACUCACAAUCAAAUAUUUACACAUCAACAACUGUAUUAUCUUUAAUUACGCCUUCAUUUAUCUAUUAAAAAAAAUCUCUAAUAAAAUCUCUAACUAACUCCGGUCAUCAUCUCUUGAAGGCUUAGAAAAUGUCCAAAUACAGCGGCACAUGCUCAUUAUUGUGUGAGCGAUGAGAACUUUGCGCUGAACCUAUAAAGUAACUAUACUUAACUGGUAAAGUAAUUGUAUCCCGUGAAUCUAAAGGAAGACUACACACGUUGAUAGAGUUUGAAAGAAAAGAAUAAAGAGAAUGAAAAUCCAAAGAAUUUGCUUCUUCCGUUGAACAAUCCCUACACAACAUUGAAAUAUCAAUGAAAAUAAUGGCUAUCGUAUACUCCCUCCAUCCAUGAAAGAACUUCAUAGGAGGGAGUGACACGGGUUUUAAGAAAAAAUAUUGUUAAGUGUAUUGAGAGUGGAUAAAAGGUAGUUGAGUGUAUUGGGAGUGGUGAAAAUGUGUUAUAGUUAAUAUUGAGAGUUGUGAAAAGUGAAAAGUAAGAGGAUUAUAAGUGGUGGGGUAUAGUCCAAAAAUAGGUAGGAAGUUCUUUUGUGGACGUCCCAAAAAGGAAAGAUAUGAAGUUCUUUCGUGGACGGAGGGAGUAUUAUUUUGCAGCAGCAACCACGUUUGAAAACUCGAUCCCUCUGUUCUUGAAUUUGUGAAAUUUCCGACUGAUUUAUUAGAUUCACCAUUUAUUUCAGUUUAAUUAGUCUAUAUAUAGAUAUUUCUUAUAUUAUUAAAUUGUUAACCUCAUGGUAGAUUUCAAGAUUUGAAAAUUCAACAAAGAGCUUGAGAAUUAUUGAGAUUGGAAGGGGAAGAUGAAACAUAAUUGGGUGAAAUUAGAAACCAAUUAAAGUCACAAGAUUGAACAAAAACAUAACUUAAAAACACAAAAUAAGCAAAUCGUAGAUGCAGUAUCUUGCAAGAAAAAGUUCAUAUUCCCAAGGCUAUGAUGAGCACGAAUUAGGGUGUGUCUGCAUUUUAUCCCUCUAAAUAGAGGAAUAACAAAAUUUUAUUCUUUAAAUGUUUGCUUUCUUAUCACACAUUCUACACAAACACCAUUUUUUCUUCCUUAUUUUCACUUCAAGGAGGANUAAUAUUAUCCCUCCAAUUUUGGUGUGAUAAUAUUAUCUCUUCUUGAAGUGAAAAUAAGGAAGAAAAAAUGGUAUUUGUGUAGGAUGUGGGAUAAGAAAGCAAACAUUUAAAGGUAUAAAUUUUUGUUAUUCCUCAUUUAGAGGAAUAAAAAGCAAACACACAUUAGAGUCUACUUACAAUUUAGGCGCAGGCUGUGCGAGAAUUACUUAGUCGAAUAGGAUCCUAAGUAUUUAUAUUUCUCAUGUUCUUGUGUAUUUUUUUACUGAUUCACUAUUGGAUUAACAAGAAUUAUCUUACUUUAAAUUUCUUGCUUUAAAAAAAAAAAAGAAUUAUCUUACUUCAUGUAUGGUAUGCCAACUGUUCGAUAAAGGUCCUUUUAGAAAUCUUCUAUUGAUUACCUUGCGAAGACCACAAAACUAGACACACCCAAAAGCAUUCUUGCAUAGUUUAUACAUAGAGAUGGCCGAUUGAUGAUCGUCUUAUUUGUAGACUUAACGCGAGCAGACUCGAUCGCUUAGUCCUUAUUGAUUUACGACACACAUGCUCACACACACACAUACACACAUCACAAAAUCACACAAAUUGACGGAUAAUGUUGCCGUUCAGCUCCUUCCUGAACCUCACCGCGGCAUUUUUCUGCACCAUAGUGGCCGUGAAAUACCACGAGACGAUGUCAUGGACGGCGACGUGUUGUCCGGUGGCGGCGGAUAGCCCGACCUGAACCUGCUGAGGAACAAAGUCGCUCAAAUCGUACUCAUAGUUGACAUCAAAUGUCUGCGAGCCGGCGGUGACUUUCACGGAGAUCAUCCUUGUGGCUCCGACGUAGUUGAUCCGCGCAGUCACCUGCUGCCCGAGUAUGGAGUUGUCGACCUUCGUCGUGUUGCUGGAUGCCCUAGAGCCGAAGUCGAUGCCGAUGUGGGGAUAGAGCGGAUCCCACGCGCCGUUGACGUAGGUGUCGAUUUCGACGGCGAAGACCGAGGGGCUGUUGCCGUUGGAGCCAAAGAUUCCGAGGUUGGCUCCGUUGGAGCCAGGGGGGAUGGUGGAACCGACGGGGGCAAUGAAGAAGGCGAGGCCGUCGGCAGGCUCGUUGUCGGCGCCCGGGGUGAUGAUGAAGUUCACAGUGGUUUCGAAGUCGACCUGCCCACCGGACUGCGAGAAUUGGACCGGGUUCGAGUGCAAGACGCGGCCGACUUGUGAGGGCUGUGCGUCUGUGAGGCGGAGGAAGGUGGAGUCCGUCGGGAAAUGGGCGCUGCCUUGAUAGAUGAGAUCUUUCGGCUGGUCGCCCCAGAAGUCGUAGGUGAAGGACGUCGUUUGGGACAACGCCGUGUUGGAAACGGCGAGGAGGAGGGCGAUGGAGGCGAGGAGAGGAGUUAAGGUUUGAACAAGCUGGUUGGCCAUGGCUUAAUUGAUUUAGAUUUAGAUUUAGAGAUGUGGUGGAUGAUGGUGGCCAGGUAUCGAUCUCUUGCACCUAUUUAUACUAGUAUGGUUCAUGCCUGUUAAUAAUUGUAUAUAUCAAUCAAUCAUCGUGCAUCUAUCCCAAAUUAUAUGUCUUAUUAUUCACUAAUUAGAUGGAAUAAAUCCUAAUUAGCAAUCUUAAAAUUACACCGCCAAUGAGGCCUUGCUCUAGUGGUAAAGCUGUGGCACCGAAUAACUUUUCUUUGUGAAAGGUCUUGGGUUCAAUCUCGCCUGCAUGCGGUGAUGUUUGUCCAUUUUAGAUGGUGUGGUAUUCUUGCCUGCGUGCGGUGUUGUAUUAUUUAGUCUUAGGCGUUCUUGCCUGUGUGCAUAUCACUGUGUGACAAUUAAAAGAAUGACUUUAAAAUAAAAGUUAAGCCUUAAAAAUUUAAUCUACAUUCAUAUAUAACUGAAAUUACAUGCAUGUCUAAUUUUUUUAAUAUCAUAACAAGAUAAGAUUUAUUAAAUAAUUCAGAUGCAUAAAUAAAAAGUUAAUCUAUAAACACAGUAUAGAUAUAUUAUCAAUGAUAGGCCGUGUAUAAGUCUUAAUCUGUAAAACUAUAUCAUCCCAGCCUUAAACGACUACCAUUCCUGCUUUCCCAGAGCAACCACACUGUUCCCACCCACAAAGCUUUAAGCAGUACAUGCAUGUCUAAAUAUUAUUUAUAAUUAUCAAUAACAAGAUUAAUGAUUCUAUAUCUCUAUGUUUAUACAUAUAUUCACGUAUGACAUAGUAUAUAUUAGCUAUUAAGUUAAAAACUAAUAAAAUACUACAGUUUUGCAUAGGAUAUAUAUUUAAUUAGUAGUAGGAUAGGACACGUGUAUUAAUUUUAAGGGCAAGUAAUCAAACUUUUGAAUGAUUCAUCAUGCUUAAAAAAAAAAAGAGACCUAGAUAGAUGAUUCAUCAGAUUCAAAAACAAGUAUAAAUAGACUUCGAGUUUGAAAUUUUAAUUAAUUUGCAACAACAAUUCAAACUGACUGUAUUAAGGUAAGUAGUUACAGAUUUCAUACACAUUAUAUGAUUUCGCGCACAUACGUAUGUAUAUAUAAAUAUUUUUUAAAAUCAUAUACUCCCUCCGUCCCCAAAAUAAGUUCCUCUUUGGGGACGGCACGGAUUUUAAGGAAAAGUGGUAAAGUGUAUUAAUAGUGGAGAAAAAUAUGUUAUAAUUAGUAUUGGAAGUUGUGAAAAGGUGAAAAAGUGUUAUAAUUAGUAUUGGGAGUGGUGAAAAAGUGAAAAGUAAGAAUAAAUAAAGUAUUAUUAGUGGUGGGGUAGUUGUCCAAAAAUGGAAAAAAAGAAAGAGGAACUUAUUUGGGGGACAUCCCAAAAUGGAAAAAGAGGAACUUAUUUCAGGGACGGAGGGAGUAUUAUAUAAUAAUUAUAUUUAAGUUUUAUAUUAUUCUUUAUAAACUAUUGUUCCAUUCUAUAUAAUUAGGUGUGGCACGACUAGGACGUAACUUUCGAUUGAAUUUCUCAAGUUAAUUUUCAAGUUCAAGUUUCAGGUGUGAGAUUUAUUUAAAUACAUGUCAUGAUUAUUCAUUGUCCAUUUUAAUAGUAUGUGUUUACCAUAUGUGUUAUGACGCAUAUUUUGAGGACAUCGCUAGGAGCCCAUAAAUAGGGUCCAGGACUUCACCGUCCUUGGAUUGCCACAAUGCGAUUUGAGGUUUAUUUUGAGGAUGUCGUCAGGGGCCCGUAAAUAGGGUCCAGGACUUUAAUAGUCAUUGGGUUGCCACAGUGCGAAUAUUGAAGAUAUAUAUGAAGUGACCGUAUGUGUUACCGUUUCAUUAACGUGGACAAUGAUUGCAUGUUUAAGAGACAAUAACCAAUUUUUCAGACAUUUGUGAACAAAAUGAAGCAUGUUUAGAGAUCCUUAAUAAAGGUGUACGAAAUGAUGGAUAAAUAAGUUUGUGAAACAAAUUUCACCAUACCUAACCCCACAAUUAUUUGCGGUCGAAUUUCCUCGUCACAGGAAAAAGAGAUGAUGACAAAAGGGCAAAAAUUAAUUAACAAAGUAGAAGAUGCAUGACAACUGUAAAAGAAAAAUAAUGCUACUAAUUAAAUAGUCCAAACUUCAUACGUUUCAUAUCAUAAGUGGCAGUUCUAUUUUUUUUUUGCGAAAGUGAACAAAAUAACGAAUAAUUUUUAAAGUAAUAGUAAUAAGGAGAUGUGUUUUGACAGAAAACGACAUGAGCGGCCUAAAAAUAAGAGGGAAAAAGAUAAUCAUAUAAAUAUGGGUUAAUUGCCUCUAAAUACACCACCUUUCCUUGAAUUCUACAAUUGCACAUCACCUUUAAAAUCCGCCCUUAAAUACACCACCUUUCCUUGAGUUCUACAAUUGCACAUCACCUUUAAAUCCGCCCCAAAAUACAUCAUCUUUAUAUUUUUUCUGUUUUUGCACAUGACUAAAAAAUUCUCAAGAAAUAAAUUAAAGUGUUAAUUUAUAAAUUUAAAUAUCUUUUUAGCAGCGAAAACAUAAUAAAAUAAAAUUCUUUAUAAAGUUUAAAAUCAUAUAUAUAUAUAUAUAUAUAUAAGUAUUUUCGUAAAGAAAUAAAUUCUCUAAUAAAUUUUUAGAAAGAACUUGAAUUAAAAAAAUAAACAAGUCAUGACAUUAAGAAAAUAAAAUGAAAUUUUUAUUUUAAUAAAUUUCACACGAAUUCGAUAUAAUUUGGAAUUUAGAGUUACAAUAAUCAGAAGUACCACAUGAAUAAUAUAAUGAGUUUGAAAGAAAUUUUUUUUAAAGAGGUUCGACACGCCCAUUCGACUUUCCACGCGCCUCCAAUGUCAUUUACCUGAAAUAUUAANUAUAUAAGUAUUUUUCGUAAAGAAAUAAAUUCUCUAAUAAAUUUUUAGAAAGAACUUGAUUAAAAAAUAAACAAGACAUGACAUUAAGAAAAUAAAAUGAAACUUUUAUUUUAAUAAAUUUCACACGAAUUCGAUAUAAUUUGGAAUUUAGAGUUACAAUAAUAAAAAGAACCACAUAAAUAAUAUAAUCAGUUUGAAAGAAAUAUAUAUAUAUUUUUUUAAAGAGGUUCGACGCGCCCAUUCGACUCUCCACGCGCUACCAAUGUCAUUACCUGAAAUACUAAAUAUGGGAUAAGCAUACAUAAUAUACUUAGUGUGGGAACAUGCAAUUAUUGUCCACGUUAAUAAAAUAGUAACACAUACGAUCAUAACAUUCAAAACGACACAAUUUUGCCAAUAUGGAAGCCACGUCAUUUAAAGUGGUAACACCCUAAUCUAACUAAAGUGUUAAAUAUAAAUUUAAAGCGGAAAUAUAAUAAAAUAAAGUUCUUUAUAAAAAUAAAUAAAGAAUUUUAUUUUAUUAUAUUUCCGCUGCUAAAAAAGAUAUUUAAAAUUUAUAAAUUAACACUUUAAUUUAUUUCUUGAGGAUUUUUAAGUCAUGUGCAAAAACAGAAAAAAAAUAUAAAGGUGAUGUAUUUUGGGGCGGAUUUAGAAUUCAAGGAAAUGUGGUGUAUUUAGGGGCGGAUUUUAAAGGUGAUGUGCAAUUGUAGAAUUCAAGGAAAGGUGGUGUAUUUAGGGGAAAUUAACCCUAUAAAUAUUCAAAAUCAAACGGAUUGGCAUGUAUUCAUCAUUUUUUAUUUUUUAUUUUGAUAAUUUAACAGUAUUAAAUAAAGAAAUUUAUAGGCUGCGUCCCUUACUGCUUGGCUUUUAGAUUAUGUUGUAAUAAUAAAAUUAAAAGCACGUUUACAAUAUAAAAUUAAUUAUGAUAAAUACAAUAUAUUAAUAAUAAAUACUCAAUUACCUCUUAACAUAAUUCGCGCAUCAUGGCUUUUAGCUUAUAUUAUAAAGAUAUAAUAUGUUGUCUAUAAUAAUCGACGGAAGGUAAUAGACAACAUGUUUUACUUCUUGUCUAUAAUAAUAUAGACAGUAGAUCUAGUGUUAUAGAUAACAAUUAAUACGUGUUGUCUAUAUGAUGAUAGACACCAAAAAUCUCUGUUGUCUAUUCUAUGACAAAAAAAUUUAAAAAAAUUCUAAUAUAUUUACAUCCCUGUAUUACAAUACCAAUAUAUAUGAAAAAAUAAAAAUAAUUAAAAAUCAAAUAAUCAAACAAUACUUAUAAACCACUAAUACUCACAAUCAAAUAUUUACACAUCAACAAUUGUAUUAUCUUUAAUUACGCCUUCAUUUAUCUACUAAAAAAAAUCUCUAAUAAAAUCUCUAACUAACUCCGGUCAUCAUCUCUUGAAGGCUUAGAAAAUGUCCAAAUACAGCGGCACAUGCUCAUUAUUGUGUGAGCGAUGAGAACUUUGCGCUGAACCUAUAAAGUAACUAUACUUAACUGGUAAAGUAAUUGUAUCCCGUGAAUCUAAAGGAAGAAUAAACACGUUGAUAGAGUUUGAAAGAAAAGAAUAAAGAGAAUGAAAAUCCAAAGAAUUUGCUUCUUCCGUUGAACAAUCCCUACACAACGUUGAAAUAUCAAUGAAAACAAUGGCUAUCCUAUACUCCCUCCAUCCAUGAAAGAACUUCCUAGGAGGGAGUGACACGGGUUUUAAGAAAAAAUAUUGUUAAGUGUAUUGAGAGUGGAUAAAAGGUAGUUGAGUGUAUUGGGAGUGGUGAAAAUGUGUUAUAGUUAAUAUUGAGAGUUGUGAAAAGUGAAAAGUAAGAGGAUUAUAAGUGGUGGGGUAUAGUCCAAAAAUAGGUAGGAAGUUCUUUUGUGGACGUCCCAAAAAGGAAAGAUAUGAAGUUCUUUCGUGGACGGAGGGAGUAUUAUUUUGCAGCAGCAACCACGUUUAAAAACUCGAUCCCUCUAUUCUUGAAUUUGUGAAAUUUCCGACUGAUUUAUUAGAUUCACCAUUUAUUUCAGUUUAAUUAGUCUAUAUAUAGAUAUUUCUUAUAUUAUUAAAUUGUUAACCUCAUGGUAGAUUUCAAGAUUUGAAAAUUCAACAAAGAGCUUGAGAAUUAUAGAGAUUGGAAGGGGAAGAUGAAACAUAGUUGGGUGAAAUUAGAAACCAAUUAAAGUCAGGAGAUUGAAGAAAAACAUAACUUAAAAACACAAAAUAAGCAAAUCGUAGAUGCAGUAUCUUGCAAGAAAAAGUUCAUAUUCCCAAGGCUAUGAUGAGCACGAAUUAGGGUGUGUCUGCAUUUUAUCCCUCUAAAUGGAGGAAUAAUAAAAUUUUAUGCCUUUAAAUGUUUGCUUUCUUAUCACACAUUCUAAACAAACACCAUUUUUUCUUCCUUAUUUUCACUUCAAUGAGGGAUAAUAUUAUCCCUCCAAUUUUGGUGUGAUAAUAUUAUCCCUCCUACAAGUGAAAAUAAGGAAGAAAAAAUGGUACUCCCUUCGUCCCAAACGAAAUGUCCUGUUUUCCUUUUUGGGCUGUCCCAAACGAAAUGUCCUGUUUCCUUUUUUGGCAAUACACUCUCUCUCUAUACUUAAUAUUUAAAUAAUUUUCACCAACCCACUUUAUCUACUUUAUACACAUUUCUUAAUCUCCGUGCCGAAAAGAAAUGGGACAUUUCGUUUGGGACGGAGGGAGUAUUUGUGUAGGAUGUGGGAUAAGAAAACAAACAUUUAAAGACAUAAAUUUUUGUUAUUCCUCCAUUUAGAGGGAUAAAAAGCAAACACACCUUAGAGUCUAAUUACAAUUUAGGCGCAGGCUGUGUGAGAAUUACUUAGUCGAAUAGGAUCCUUAGUAUUUAUAUUUCUCAUGUUCUUGUGUAUUUUUUCACUGAUUCACUAUUGGAUUAACAAGAAUUAUCUUACUUUAAAAAAAAAAAAGAAAUGAUCUUACUUCAUGUAUGGUAUGCCAACUGUUCGAUAAAGGUCCUUUUAGAAAUAUUCCAUAGAUUACCUUGCAAAGACCACAAAACUAGACACACCCUGCAUAGUUUAUACAUAGGGAUGGCCGAUUGAUGAUCGUCUUAUUUGUAGACUUAACGAGAGCAGACUCGAUCGCUUAGUCCUUACUGAUUUACGACACACAUGCACACAUACACAGAUACACACAUCACAAAAUCACGCAAAUUGACGGAUAAUGUUGCCGGCCAGCUCCUUCCUGCUCCACGCCACGGCAUUUUUCUGCACCAUGGUGGCCGUGAAAUACCACGAGACGAUGUCAUGGGUGGCGACGUGUUGUCCGGUGGCGGCGGAUAGCCCGACCUGAACCUCCUGAGCAACAAAGUAGCUCAAAUCGUACUCAUAGCUGACAUCAAACGUCUGAUUGCCGGCGGUGACUUUGACGGAGAUCAUCCUUGUGGCUCCGACGUAGUUGAUCCGCGCAGUUACCUGCUGCUUGAGUAUGGAGCUGUCGACCGGCGUCGUCUUGCUGGAUACCCUAGAGCCGAAGUCGAUGCCGAUGUGGGGAUAGAGCGGAUCCCACGCGCCGUUGACGUAGGUGUCGAUUUCAACGGCGAAGACCCCGGGGCUGUUGCCGUUGGAGCCAAAGAUUCCGAGAUUGGCUCCGUCGGAGCCAGGGGGGAUGGUGGAGUCGACGGGGGCAAUGAAGAAGGCGAGGCCGUCGGCAGGCUCGUUGUCGGCGCCGGGGGUGAUGAUGAAGUUCACGGUGGUUUCGAAGUCGACCUGCCCAUUGGACAUCCAGAAUUGGACCGGUUCCGAGUACAUGACGCGGCCGACUUGGGACGGUUGUGCGUCUGUGAGGCGGAGGAAGGUGGAGUCCGUCGGGAAAUGGGCGUUGCCUUGAUAGAUGAGAUCUUUCGGCUGGUCGCCCCAGAAGUCGAAGGUGAACGACGUCGUUUGGGACAACGCCGUGUUGGAAACGGCGAGGAGGAGGGCGAUGGAGGCGAGGAGAGGAGUUAAGUUGGCCAUGGCUUAAUAGAUUUAGAUUUAGAGAUGUGGUGGAUGAUGGUGGUAUCGAUCUGUUGCACCUAUUUAUACUAGUAUGGUUCAUGCCUGAUAAUAAUUGUAUCAAUCAAUCAUCGUGCAUCUAUCCCAAAUUAUAUGUCUUAUUAUUCACUAAUUAGAUGGAAUAAAUCCUAAUUUGCAAUCUUAAAAUUAAACCGCCAAUGAGGCCUUGCUCUAGUAGCAAAGCUGUGGCACCCAAUAACUUUUCUUUGUGAAAGGUCUUGGGUUCAAUCUCGCCUGCAUGCGGUGAUGUUUGCCCACUUUAGGUGGUGUGGUAUUCUCGCCUGCGUGCGGUGUUAUAUUGUUUAGUGUUAAGGUCCCACAUGCAGGGCGUUCUUGCAUGUGUGCGUGUCACAACCCAAAACCAUUUAUUUUCUUUACAAAUUUUAUAUGAAAAUUAUUUGAUUUUUAAGUUAUAGAGUUUUCGAUAUAUAUACAUAUAGUGUCAAUUUUAUGUUAACUUAGUCGUGUCCCUAAUUAAAAGAAUGAAUUUGAAAUAAAAGUUAAGCCUUAAAAAUUUAAUCUACAUUCAUAUAUAACUGAAAUUACAUGCAUGUCUAAAUAUUAUUUAUAAUUAUCAAUAACGGGAUUAAUGAUUCUAUAUCUCUAUGUUUAUACAUAUAUUCACGUAUGACAUAGUAUAUAUUAGCUAUUAAGUUAAAUAAAAUACUACAGUUUUGCAUAGGAUAUAUAUUUAAUUAGUAGUAGGAUAGGACACGUGUAUUAAUUUUAAGGGCAAGUAAUCAAACUUUUGAAUGAUUCAUCAUGCUUAAAAAAAAGAGACCUAGAUAGAUGAUUCAUCAGAUUCAAAAACAAGUAUAAAUAGACUUCGAGUUUGAAAUUUUAAUUAAUUUGCAACAACCAUUCAAACUGACUGUAUUAAGGUAAGUAGUUACAGAUUUCAUACACAUUAUAUGAUUUCGCGCACAUACGUAUGUAUAUAUAAAUAUUUUUUAAAAUCAUAUAUUAUAUAAUAAUUAUAUUUAAGUUUUAUAUUAUUCUUUAUAAACUAUUGUUCCAUUCUAUAUAAUUAGGUGUGGCAUGACUAGGACGUAACUUUCGAUUGAAUUUCUCAAGUUAAUCUUCAAGUUCAAGUUUCAGGUGUGGGAUUUAUUUAAAUACAUGUCGUGGUUAUUUAUUAUCCAUUUUAAUAAUAUGUGUUUACCAUAUGUGUUAUGAUGCAUAUUUUGAGGAUAUCGCUAGGGGCCCAUAAAUAGGGUCCAGGACUUCACCGUCCUUGGAUUGCCACAAUGCAAUUUGAGGUUUAUUUUGAGGAUGUCGUCAGGGAUCCGUAAAUAGGGUCCAGGACUUUAAUAGUCCUUGGGUUGCCACAGUGCGAAUAUAUUGAGGAUAUAUAUGAAGUGACCGUAUGUGUUACCGUUUCAUUAACGUGGACAAUGAUUGCUUGUUCUCACACUGAGUGUACUCUGUAUGCUCAUCCCAUAUUUAACGUGGAAGGUCGAUUGACGAAUCAAAUAUUUUGUAUUUAGCUUUACCUAAAUAUGUUAUUUUGAGUAAAGUAUUUUAAAUAAAAAUUUAUUUCAUAAUUUUCUCAUUAAAUAUUUAUUUAUAUUCAUAGCUUUUCCGCACAAAUAUUUAUUUAAAUUUUAAUUAGAUUUGGGUGUCACUGUGCGGUGAUGUUUUUCCACCGUUUCGGUGGUGGUGAGGCCCCACCUGCGUGCACGUUAUAUACUUGAUUAUAUUCAGAUACCUCUUGUAAUUUUUAAAAAAAUAAUCAUAAAAUUAAACCAAAGCAUAUAAAAUUGAAAUUGGCCAAAAAAAUAUAUAAAAAUAAAUAAAAUUAAAAAUGGGAUAUAAAGUGAGACAUUAAAUGUGGUACACUACUGAAUCUCAAUCCAACACGUGGAUGCUACAUUGUACUUGUCGGAAUAUUAGAACUUCUACAAAAUAUUGCUAUUGGAAACGUGAAAUUUUAUUAUGAGAAAACUUAUACCUGACCCCACAGUCGUGGGCACGUGUUAUGUUGCGCGGAAAUUAAAGUGGUGGGGACCGUAAAUGGUAUUUUAGUCUUUUAAUUUAUUUUAGUAUACAAAAGAGUUAAUUUUAAAGAGGCGCUAAAAAACACAUCACUUUUAAAAAUUGGUAUUUAAAAUCUUGAACCCCUUUUAUUAUUUUAGAAAGAUAUUAAUUAAUUGAUAAAUUAAUAAAUUAUUAAUUGAAACAAUUAUUUUAAGCAAAUUUAAUUAUAAUUACCUAAAAAUUUAAAAAACAUAAAUUCAAUACCAUUCAAAUUCAACAAACUAACUUAAAUUUUUACUUUAAAAAAUCUUCAUCAAUCUUGCAAUCUCGGCUUGGACUAUAAAUGUUCAACAAGAGACAAUAACCAAUUUUUCAGACAUUUGUGAACAAAAUGAAGCAUGUUUAGAGAUCCUUAAUAAAGGUGUACGAAAUGAUGGAUAAAUAAGUUUGUGAAAAUUUCACCAUACCUAACCCCACAAUUAUUUGCGAUCGAAUAUCCUCGUCACAGGAAAAAGAGAUGAUGACAAAAGGGAAAAAAAAAUUAACAAAGUAGAAGAUGCAUGACAACUGUCAAGAUAAAUAAUGUUACUAAUUAAAUAAUCCAAACUUUAUACGUUUCAUAUCAUAAGUGGCAGUUCUAUAUUUUUUGCGAAAGUGAACAAAAUAACGAAUAAUUUUUAAAGUAAUAGUAAAAGGAGAUGUGUUUUGACAGAAAACGACAUGAGCGGCCUAAAAAUAAGAGGGAAAAAGAUAAUCAUAUAAAUAUUCAAAAUCAAACGGAUUGGCAUGUAUUCAUCAUUUUUUAUUUUAAUAAUUUAACAGUAUUAAAUCAAGAAAUUUAAAGACCGCGCCCCUUACUGCUUGGCUUUAAGAUUAUGUUACAAUAAUAAAAUUAACAGCACGUUUACAAUAUAAAAUUAAUUAUGAUAAAUGCAAUAUAUUAAUAAUAAAUACUCAAUUACCUCUUAACAUAAUUCGCGCAUCAUGGCUUUUAGCUUAUGUUAUAAAGAUGGAGUAUAAAAUAAUCAUCACCUGUGCAUGAUAUUUCACAAAAUAAUUAAAUAAUAAAAUAAUCAAUCAUAAUGCCAAGACGUGACUCUUGUCGGUCAUAUCUCAUCAACUUUAUCUAUAUAGUACAAUGAUGAUUAAUUUGAGAACGACGAUUAAGACACCAACUAUUCUUGUGGGGACACAUGCAUAUAUAGAAUUAAUAUUAUAAACUCUCUCGGUCCACGAAAUAACUUACUAUUUUUUCUUUUAAGAACGUGAACAAAAAAAAUUCCCAUCGAUAUUUCGGAACUAUACCCCACUACUUUAAAAUACCUCAUUUUACCCUUUCUUUUUCACAAAAACAACAAAUUACUAAUAAUUUUUCACUAUUCCUAAUAUACUGAACAAUUUUUCUCCACUCUCAAAUUUUGUAGCACCGAAUAAAAUUAAAUACUAGUAUUAUUUUUUGUAGAACUAUAAAUAAAUAUUAUUCUCAAAACAUGUACUAUUACUUACUAUUUUUUUUAAAUGUGGGACGACCAAAAAAGGAAAGAUGAAUUCUAAAAGCUGGGACAGAGGAUAUAUUAUUUUUCUUCUUGGUUCUGAAGUAUGAAUAUUAAUUAACAAUUCUUCGUCCACAUCAAGCUCACCUUCACGUAAUUUUUUCUUGAACAACACCGAAAAAUAUAUAAUCCCAACAUAGCAUGAUCAAUCUCAAUGCACCAAACAUAAAUUAGUUUUAAAAUAAUAAUAAGAUUAACUACUAUAUUGCUGAAUUAUGCAGUAGAAUUAAAAGCGUGAUUUUUUUUUAAUAGAGCAGGUUAAUCUAGGCCUACCUGAACCAUCUGACUAUGCAUGAGUUUGAUUUUUCUUCUUGAUCUUUUUUAAUUUUACCGACAAAGAAGAUUUUCACAAAUGAAAAGAAAACGUUCUAGUAACAUACUACAUGCUUACUUCAGAUUUGCAACCAAGUCUAUUGAGGGUUUUAUUUGCUACAUAUAUAAACACAAGGAUUUGGUUUGAUACAAAUUAAGAAUAUUCAACUUUCAUCGGCUCAAGCACAUAGAAUCUCCCCGAGUAGUUAUAACUGGUCAAUGUUUUUGCCGAUAAAAAGGAAAAGGAAAGAAAAAAGAAAGAAGCAAGACGGAGAAAAAGUUGUAGUAAAUGAUUAUGCGAUGAAAAGAAAAUGGAAAAGAGAAAGAAAGAAGAAAGUUGUAGGAAUUUUGAAGAAUUUGUACUUAUUUAGAAUUGUGGUUAUUGUGGGAUCUUGUAUAAUAAUAAUAAUAAUAAUAAUAAUAAUAAUAAUAAUUAUUGGGCCGUUCCACGAAUCUUGGCACAUUUUCAAAUAAGGUAAUAAUUCAUUCUCUCUCUUACUUUAUCACUUUAAUACUUUAUUAACUACAAACUUAAAACACUAAUAUACAAUUCCUUAAUUCCCGUGUCGAAACCAAACGUGUCAAGAUUCGUUGGAUGGAGGGAGUAAUAAUAAUAAUAAUAAUAAUAGUAAUAAUAAUAAUAAUAAUAAUAAUAAUACAUCAUUGCCCUUUAAAAAGUUUUAAAAUAGGAACAUAAUAUGUAAAUCUAAUUUUGUAAAAGAAGCUCUUCUAUAGUAAUAGUUAUAGAUUUGGUGUGGAGGCAUUUGUUUGAGAAUGGGUAAAACAUACCAUUAACCCUUUGAUAUAUGCACGAGACACUUAUUUGUGGAUAGGACAAGAAUUAUUUUGUUGCAUAGGAUCCCUUCCAAAUGUAAUUACUGAUUCACAAUUGGAUUAACAAGAAUUAACUUACUUCAUAUUCAGUAUUCCAACUGUUCGAUAAAAGUUCUUAAUGAAAUCUUCCAUAGAUUACCCAAAUGCAUUGUUUUGCAUAGUCCGUACAUUGAGAUGGUCGAGUAUCUUAUGUCUAGACUUAACGAGAGCAGACUCGAUCGCUUAGUCCUUAUUUAUUUACGACACACACACAUCUCAAAAUCACACAAAUUGACGAAUAAUGUUGCCAGCCAGCUCCUUCCUGUUCCACGCGCCAGCAUUUGUCUUCACCAUGGUGGCUGUGAAAUACCAUGAGAUAAUAUCAUGUUUGGCGACGUAUGGUUGGUUUAGUCCGCUGGCGGCGGAGAGCCCUACCUGAACCUGCUCAGGAAGAAACUCGCCCAAAUUGUACACAUGGCUGACCUCAAACGUCUUCGAGCCGGCGGUGGCACUGACGGUGAUCAUCUUCGUGGCUCCGACGUAGUUGAUCCGCGCAGUCACCUGCUGUCCGACUAUGGCGUCUCCGACAUUCGUCGUGUUGCUGGAUUCCCUAGAUCCGAGGUCGAUGCCGAUGUGGGGAUAGUUCGGAUCCCACGGGCUGUUGAUGAAGGUGUCGAACUCGACGGCGAAGACCGAGGGGCUAUUGCCGUUGGAGCCGAAAAUUCCGAGGUUGGCCCCAACAGCGCCACUGGGGAUGGUGGAGCCGACGGGGGCAAUGAAGAAAGCGAGGCCGUCAGCGGUUUUGCCAUCGGGGCUGGGUGUGAUGAUGAAGUUAAUGGUGGUUUCAAAGUCGACUUGGCCACCGGAUUGGGAGAACUGGACCGGCUUCGAGUACAAGACCCGGCCGACCUGGUAUGUCUCGAAGUCGGUGAGGCGGAGGAAGGUGGAGUCCGAUGGGAAAUGGGCGUGGCCUUGGUAGGUGAGAUCGGUCGGCUGGUCGCCCCAGAAGUCGUAGGUGAAGGACGUUGUUUGGGACCACACCGUGUUGGCAGCGGCGGCAAGGAGAAGGGCGAUGGAGAUUAGGGUUUGUUGAAGGUUGGCCAUCGCUUAAUUGAUUUGGAUGUGGUGGAUGAUGGUGGUAUCUUUAUCUUGCUUCUAUUUAUAGUAGUAUAACGAGCCCUAGUUAAUUAUCUUUAAAUCAUACUAAAAUAUCAUAAAUUAAAAUUGAAGAAAAAAAAGUUAAAACCUACUCUCGCAGUCCCUCAAAUAACUUCUUAGGAGAAGAGGGGUAGGAGUUUUAAGACGAAGUUAAUGUGCAAAGUAAGGAUAAA
Molecule: long non-coding RNA, 25473 nt
Filed under: Salvia miltiorrhiza (redroot sage)
Lineage: Eukaryota; Viridiplantae; Streptophyta; Magnoliopsida; Lamiales; Lamiaceae
Description: long non-coding RNA (SMIL_LNC011427)
Source: RNAcentral